GUGAAUCAUCGAAUUUUUGAACGCAAAUUGCGCCUCCUUCGGAAGGCAUGUCCGUUUGAGGGCACCAUUUAACAAAUACUGUGCCGCGUCUUUUGUUGCACACGUUGAUGAGCUUUCCAAGAAUUUUAAAUUUUUGGUGGCGCAUAAUGAACAGCGUGAAGCUUUUUUUUCAGUUCGAGUGUAUUAAAAUCUUUGCUUGGGUUGUG
RNAcentral lists this unclassified non-coding RNA (206 nucleotides) under Paraglomerales sp. Its description in RNAcentral is "partial contains 5.8S ribosomal RNA and internal transcribed spacer 2". The stretch from base 1 to 65 matches the Rfam family "5.8S ribosomal RNA", at positions 84 to 154 of the family's 154-position model. The record is from RNAcentral. Lineage: Eukaryota; Fungi; Glomeromycota; Glomeromycetes; Paraglomerales.